Molecule: ribosomal RNA, 440 nt
Filed under: uncultured bacterium
Lineage: Bacteria
Description: partial 16S ribosomal RNA
Rfam family: Bacterial small subunit ribosomal RNA
Source: RNAcentral
CCUACGGGAGGCAGCAGUGGGGAAUAUUGCACAAUGGGGGAAACCCUGAUGCAGCGACGCCGCGUGAGUGAAGAAGUAUCUCGGUACGUAAAGCUCUAUCAGCAGGGAAGAAAAUGACGGUACCUGACUAAGAAGCCCCGGCUAACUACGUGCCAGCAGCCGCGGUAAUACGUAGGGGGCAAGCGUUAUCCGGAUUUACUGGGUGUAAAGGGAGCGUAGGCGGCAGCACAAGUCUGGAGUGAAAUCCCGGGGCUUAACCCCGGAACUGCGUUGGAAACUGUGCGGCUGGAGUGCAGGAGGGGUAAGCGGAAUGCGUGGUGUAGCGGUGAAAUGCGUAGAUAUUAGGAGGAACACCGGUGGCGAAGGCGGCUUACUGGACUGUAACUGACGUUGAGGCUCGAAAGCGUGGGGAGCAAACAGGAUUAGAUACCCCGGUAGUC